Molecule: ribosomal RNA, 280 nt
Filed under: uncultured bacterium
Lineage: Bacteria
Description: partial 16S ribosomal RNA
Rfam family: Bacterial small subunit ribosomal RNA
Source: RNAcentral
CGGCCGCGUCGACCGCGAAGAACCUUACCAAGGCUUGACAUAUACUGGACCGCAUCAGAGAUGGUGUUUCCCUCCGGGGCUGGUAUACAGGUGGUGCAUGGUUGUCGUCAGCUCGUGUCGUGAGAUGUUGGGUUAAGUCCCGCAACGAGCGCAACCCUCGUUCUAUGUUGCCAGCACGUUAUGGUGGGGACUCAUAGGAGACUGCCGGGGUCAACUCGGAGGAAGGUGGGGAUGACGUCAAAUCAUCAUGCCCCUUAUGUCUUGGGCGUCGACGCGGCCG